RNAcentral lists this ribosomal RNA (657 nucleotides) under uncultured fungus. RNAcentral describes it as "eukaryotic LSU rRNA". It matches the Rfam family "Eukaryotic large subunit ribosomal RNA", at positions 24 to 664 of the family's 3401-position model. The record is from RNAcentral. Lineage: Eukaryota; Fungi.
CCCGCUGAACUUAAGCAUAUCAAUAAGCGGAGGAAAAGAAACUAACAAGGAUUCCCCUAGUAACUGCGAGUGAAGCGGGAAAAGCUCAAAUUUAAAAUCUGGCAGUCUUUGGCUGUCCGAGUUGUAAUCUAGAGAAGUAUUAUCCGCGCUGGACCGUGUACAAGUCUCCUGGAAUGGAGCGUCAUAGAGGGUGAGAAUCCCGUCUUUGACACGGACUGCCAGGGCUUUGUGAUAUGCUCUCAAAGAGUCGAGUUGUUUGGGAAUGCAGCUCAAAAUGGGUGGUAAAUUCCAUCUAAAGCUAAAUAUUGGCGAGAGACCGAUAGCGAACAAGUACCGUGAGGGAAAGAUGAAAAGAACUUUGGAAAGAGAGUUAAACAGUACGUGAAAUUGCUGAAAGGGAAACGCUUGAAGUCAGUCGCGUUGGCCAGGGAUCAACCUUGCUUUUGCUUGGCUUACUUUCUGGUCGAUGGGUCAGCAUCAAUUUUGACUGGUGGAAAAAGUUCAAGGGAAUGUGGCAUCUUCGGAUGUGUUAUAGCCUUUGUUCACAUACAUUGGUUGGGAUUGAGGAACUCAGCACGCCCCAAGGCCGGGUUUUUAACCACGUACGUGCUUAGGAUGCUGGCAUAAUGGCUUUAAUCGACCCGUCUUGAAACACGG